UACGUAGGGGGCAAGCGUUGUCCGGAUUUAUUGGGCGUAAAGAGCGUGUAGGCGGCUAGGUAGGUCCGUUGUGAAAACUCGAGGCUCAACCUCGAGACGUCGAUGGAAACCAUCUAGCUAGAGUCCGGAAGAGGAGAGUGGAAUUCCUGGUGUAGCGGUGAAAUGCGCAGAUAUCAGGAAGAACACCCGUGGCGAAGGCGACUCUCUGGUACGUGACUGACGCUGAGACGCGAAAGCGUGGGGGAGCAAAACAGG
RNAcentral lists this ribosomal RNA (255 nucleotides) under uncultured bacterium. Its description in RNAcentral is "partial 16S ribosomal RNA". It matches the Rfam family "Bacterial small subunit ribosomal RNA", at positions 524 to 776 of the family's 1533-position model. The record is from RNAcentral.